AAGAAUGAAGUAAUGUUUUACAUCUCAGUUACAUUGAGAAGAUCCAUAAAGUUUGGCUUUCUUA
This 64-nucleotide transfer RNA is filed under the name Coryphella verrucosa. RNAcentral's name for it is "tRNA-Val". Lineage: Eukaryota; Metazoa; Mollusca; Gastropoda; Nudibranchia; Coryphellidae. The record is from RNAcentral.